Cyprinus carpio (common carp) is the source of this 2536-nucleotide long non-coding RNA. The record is from Ensembl. Lineage: Eukaryota; Metazoa; Chordata; Actinopteri; Cypriniformes; Cyprinidae.
AUGUUGCAUGAGAAACUUUGUAGCCUAGAGAAAAGCGAACCGCAUCCACAAACCACGCUCUGCUCUGUUGUGUGUACAGGGACGUGUUCUCAUUUUAACGCUCUCUCCUGUGACGAGUGUCUGCAGCUGGGGCCACGGUGCGCCUGGUGCACACUACAGAAUUUCACCGACUUUUUCUCAAUCAAUGAGAGAUGCGACACACCAGAGGCUCUUCUUCAGAAAGGAUGCUCCGGCAAAUUUGUGGAGUUCCCCGUCACGAAUGUCAAAGUGCUGAAGGAUCAAGGCUUAGGAAAGAGUGCCAACCACACUAAUGUUUCAUACGUCGCACCGCAGAAGAUGCGCCUCCAGCUAAGGCCAGGAAGUCAGCUGACCUUUCAAAUUCAAGUGCAGGAACCGGAGGACCAUCCGGUGGACAUUUAUUACCUGAUGGACCUGUCAGCAUCUAUGAUUGAUGAUCUGAAAAUGAUCAAAGACUUGGGUUCGAUGCUCUCCAAAGAGAUGGCUACGCUUACCAGCAAAUUCAGAUUAGGAUUCGGUUCCUUUGUGGAGAAACCAGUUCUGCCUUUCAUCAAAAUAACACACGAAGAGUUGGCCAAUCCCUGCAGGAGUGUUGAUUAUGAAUGUCUCCCAACAUUUGGAUACAGACAUCUUCUGUCAUUAACAAGCAGUAUUGACAAGUUUAAUGAGAUCAUCUCAAAGCAGCAGGUAUCGGCGAACAUCGACGUGCCAGAGGGCGGUUUUGACGCCAUCAUGCAGGCUGCGGUGUGCGGGGACAGGAUUGGCUGGCAGAACAAUUCCAUGAAGCUGCUGGUGUUUGUGAGCGAUGCAGAUUCUCAUUUUGGGAUGGACAGCAAAAUGUCCGGCAUCGUUGUCCCCAAUGACGGAGAGUGUUACCUGGACGACAACAAUGAGUAUUCAAUGACUGCCCAUCUGGAGUAUCCAACAUUAGGGCAGCUUGUCGAAAAACUGGUUGAAAACAAUAUCCUGCUCAUAUUCGCUGUGACCGACAAUCAGAGACAGAACUACGAGAAUUAUGCAAGUCUGAUUCCUGGUGCUACUGUGGGGGUGUUGGCAUCCGAUUCAAGGAACAUUCUGGAGCUCAUCAUGACCUCAUAUAAGGAACUGAGGUCUGAGAUUGAUCUGGAGGUUCUGGGCAACACUGAGGGUCUGCAGAUUUCCUUCACAGCACUCUGUCAGGAUGGGACCAUCAUCCCUGGAUGUAAAAACUGCUCCAAUGUCAAAGCUGGUGAUGUGGUAUCUUUUAAUGUUACGGUCGAGUUAAAAGGCUGUCUUGCUGGUCCACGACGGUUUUCCUUGCGCCCUGUGGGUUUCCAAGAUGCCCUGGAGAUCGAACUGGAGUCUCAGUGUGUGUGUGACUGUCAUCAAACCCCUGAAGCGAGCAGUGCCUUCUGCAGCCGAGGGCGUGGGGCGCUGGAGUGCGGCACCUGUGUGUGUGAUCCAGGCUUUGUGGGGCCCAAGUGUGAACAAAUUUUAAUGUGUGAUUAUAUGUGCAGCGGACUGGGCGAGUGUUUCUGCGGACAGUGUGUGUGCCACCCGUCCAGUUUCGGUCGUGUGUAUGGGCCGUACUGCGAGUGCGACAACUUUUCCUGCCUCAGGUUCAGAGGAGAGCUUUGCGGAGUGGGGGAAAAGAAAGUGCUGUCAGGGUGGGAGGGAUAUUUGAUCUGCUCUCGCACUUGUGUGUGUGGGAAGUGCGAGUGCACCGUUCCCGGAGCCUCAGGAGAGUGGUGCCAAAGGUGCCCAACCUGUGGAGAUAUCUGUAGCUUACCCAGGUCUUGUGUGGAGUGUUACCUCAAAGCCAGGGACCCAUUGGAUGAGUGUGGCGUGAAGUGCAACUCCCUACAUACCACUGUCAGCAAUUCCACAGGUCAGAAUCCAUUGUUUUUUACGUUUUAUUUUUUAAAUUGUUUGUGUAAUUGUUUGUAUAAUUAUUCUACAGACUGCCCUGAGCCUCCAAACGCUCCGUUGAUCGCUCUGGGCGUGUGCAUGUCUGUCCUCAUUAUUGGCAUUAUGCUCCUUGUGAUCUGGAAGUUUCUUGUUUCUGUCCAUGACCGGAAAGAGGUUGCCAAGUUUGAGGCAGAGAAGGCAAAAGCAAAAUGGCAGUCGGGCACGAAUCCUCUUUUCAGGAGCUCGACAUCAACAUUUAAAAAUGUGACCUACAAAAGCAGAGGGCAGCAAAAUACUUAUAUUUCUUAGGUCUACUGACCAAUUUUGUGUGUUGAAACACAGAAAGUAGGCUUCUUUUUACAAGGAGCGAUUACUGUUUUUUUUCCUUAUUUUCUUGUACUGUACAAGUGAGACACUGUGUGUGUGUGUGGGUGUGCGCAUGUUUAUGUGGUUUAUGAGGACACAAAUUUGUAUAAUGACAUGGGUGUGACACAGAUAUUACAAUAUGAAGGUGAUUUAUGAGGACACUACCAGUGUCGCAGUAAUUCAAAAGGCUUAAAAAAAAACAUACAAAAUGGUGUGUUUUUGAAAAUCUAAUAAAGUACAAAGUUUUCUGUGAGGGGUAUGUUUA